CUUCUUGUUUUUAAAGACCUAGCAAUAGGUAUGCUUAGGUAGGAGCUUGCGUCACAUUAGUUAGUUGGUGGGGUAAAGGCCUACCAAGACUAUGAUGUGUAGCCGGGCUGAGAGGUUGAACGGCCACAUUGGGACUGAGACACGGCCCAAACUCCUACGGGAGGCAGCAGUAGGGAAUUUUCGGCAAUGGAGGAAACUCUGACCGAGCAACGCCGCGUGAACGAUGAAGUAUUUCGGUACGUAAAGUUCUUUUAUUAGGGAAGAAUAAAUGAUGGAAAAAUCAUUCUGACGGUACCUAAUGAAUAAGCCCCGGCUAACUAUGUGCCAGCAGCCGCGGUAAUACAUAGGGGGCAAGCGUUAUCCGGAAUUAUUGGGCGUAAAGGGUGCGUAGGCGGUUAAAUAAGUUUGUGGUCUAAGUGCAAUGCUCAACAUUGUGAUGCUAUAAAAACUGUUUAGCUAGAGUAAGAUAGAGGCAAGUGGAAUUCCAUGUGUAGUGGUAAAAUGCGUAAAUAUGUGGAGGAACACCAGUAGCGAAGGCGGCUUGCUGGGUCUUUACUGACGCUGAGGCACGAAAGCGUGGGGAGCAAACAGGAUUAGAUACCCUGGUAGUCCACGCCGUAAACGAUGAGUACUAAACGUUGGGUAAAACCAGUGUUGAAGUUAACACAUUAAGUACUCCGCCUGAGUAGUACGUACGCAAGUAUGAAACUUAAAGGAAUUGACGGGACUCCGCACAAGCGGUGGAUCAUGUUGUUUAAUUCGAAGGUACCCGAAAAACCUCACCAGGUCUUGACAUGCUUCUGCAAAGCUGUAGAAACACAGUGGAGGUUAUCAGUUGCACAGGUGGUGCAUGGUUGUCGUCAGCUCGUGUCGUGAGAUGUUGGGUUAAGUCCCGCAACGAGCGCAACCCUUAUUGUUAGUUACCAGCACGUAAUGGUGGGGACUUUAGCAAGACUGCCAGUGAUAAAUUGGAGGAAGGUGGGGACGACGUCAAAUCAUCAUGCCCCUUAUGACCUGGGCUACAAACGUGAUACAAUGGCUGUUACAAAGGGUAGCUGAAGCGCAAGUUUUUGGCGAAUCUCAAAAAAACAGUCUCAGUUCGGAUUGAAGUCUGCAACUCGACUUCAUGAAGUUGGAAUCGCUAGUAAUCGCGAAUCAGC
Molecule: ribosomal RNA, 1160 nt
Filed under: 'Ampelopsis grossedentata' witches'-broom phytoplasma
Lineage: Bacteria; Bacillati; Mycoplasmatota; Mollicutes; Acholeplasmatales; Acholeplasmataceae
Description: bacterial SSU rRNA
Rfam family: Bacterial small subunit ribosomal RNA
Source: RNAcentral